GUGAAGCGGCAACAGCUCAAAUUUGAAAUCUGGCCUCUUCGGGGUCCGAGUUGUAAUUUGUAGAGGGUGUUUCAGGCGCGAUGCCGGUCUAAGUUCCUUGGAACAGGACGUCGCAGAGGGUGAGAAUCCCGUACGCGACCGGCGAUCAAGCCUGUGUGAAGCCCCUUCGACGAGUCGAGUUGUUUGGGAAUGCAGCUCAAAAUGGGUGGUAAAUUUCAUCUAAAGCUAAAUAUUGGCCAGAGACCGAUAGCGGACAAGUAGAGUGAUCGAAAGAUGAAAAGCACUUUGGAAAGAGAGUCAAACAGUACGUGAAAUUGUUGAAAGGGAAGCGCUUGCAAUCAGACCGGUCCGGAGGCGAUCAGCCGCUGCUCGUUCAGCGGUGCACUCGCCUGCGAUCCGGCCAGCAUCGGUUCGGGUGGCGGGAUAAAAGUCCCGGGAAUGUAGCUUCUUUCGGGGAGUCUUAUAGCCCGGGUCGCAAUGCCGCCCGCCCGGACCGAGGACCGCGCUUCGGCUAGGAUGCUGGCGUAAUGGUUGCAAGCGACCCGUCUUGAAACACGGA
Molecule: ribosomal RNA, 559 nt
Filed under: Sticta aff. sinuosa
Lineage: Eukaryota; Fungi; Ascomycota; Lecanoromycetes; Peltigerales; Lobariaceae
Description: partial large subunit ribosomal RNA
Rfam family: Eukaryotic large subunit ribosomal RNA
Source: RNAcentral